GAUGAACGCUGGCGGCGUGCCUAAUACAUGCAAGUCGAGCGAACAGACGAGGAGCUUGCUCCUCUGACGUUAGCGGCGGACGGGUGAGUAACACGUGGAUAACCUACCUAUAAGACUGGGAUAACUUCGGGAAACCGGAGCUAAUACCGGAUAAUAUAUUGAACCGCAUGGUUCAAUAGUGAAAGACGGUUUUGCUGUCACUUAUAGAUGGAUCCGCGCCGCAUUAGCUAGUUGGUAAGGUAACGGCUUACCAAGGCAACGAUGCGUAGCCGACCUGAGAGGGUGAUCGGCCACACUGGAACUGAGACACGGUCCAGACUCCUAAGGGAGGCAGCAGUAGGGAAUCUUACGCAAUGGGCGAAAGCCUGACGGAGCAAAGCCGCGUGAGUGAUGAAGGUCUUCGGAUCGUAAAACUCUGUUAUUAGGGAAGAACAAAUGUGUAAGUAACUAUGCACGUCUUGACGGUACCUAAUCAGAAAGCCACGGCUAACUACGUG
This 497-nucleotide ribosomal RNA is filed under the name uncultured bacterium. RNAcentral describes it as "partial 16S ribosomal RNA". It matches the Rfam family "Bacterial small subunit ribosomal RNA", at positions 28 to 507 of the family's 1533-position model. The record is from RNAcentral.